RNAcentral lists this ribosomal RNA (433 nucleotides) under uncultured bacterium. Its description in RNAcentral is "partial 16S ribosomal RNA". It matches the Rfam family "Bacterial small subunit ribosomal RNA", at positions 29 to 507 of the family's 1533-position model. The record is from RNAcentral.
AACGAACGCUGGCGGCAUGCCUAACACAUGCAGGUCGAACGAGACCUUCGGGUCUAGUGGCGCACGGGUGCGUAACGCGUGGGAACCUGCCCUUAGGUUCGGAAUAACUCCCCGAAAGGGGUGCUAAUACCGGAUAAUGUCUUCGGACCAAAGAUUUAUCGCCUUUGGAUGGGCCCGCGUUGGAUUAGCUAGUUGGUAGGGUAAAAGCCUACCAAGGCGACGAUCCAUAGCUGGUCUGAGAGGAUGAUCAGCCACACUGGGACUGAGACACGGCCCAGACUCCUACGUGAGGCAGCAGUGGAGAAUAUUGGACAAUGGGCGAAAGCCUGAUCCAGCAAUGCCGCGUGAGUGAUGAAGGCCUUAGGGUUGUAAAGCUCUUUUACCCGGGAUGAUAAUGACAGUACCGGGAGAAUAAGCGCCGGCUAACUCCGUG